Long non-coding RNA from Canis lupus familiaris (dog), 1981 nucleotides. RefSeq lists it as uncharacterized. The record is from RefSeq and is a predicted model, not a curated record. NCBI's taxonomy places the organism in Eukaryota, Metazoa, Chordata, Mammalia, Carnivora, Canidae. The transcript is spliced from 4 exons.
UCUGCCCCCAGCCACCCCUCAGGACAGUUUGACCAUUGGUCAGAGCUGGUGUCAACAGUACCCUCCCUCAACAGACCAUCCCUUUGGCCGGCUGGCCUAGAGUACUGUGGGUGUGUGUGUAGGGGGUGAAGUAGGACAUGGAUCUGGUGUCCAAGGACAGAGGAGGCAGAGCCUGUGGGGGAAGGGGACAGGAGCUACACAGGCCAGAGUGCUUGGACUUUGGACCCCUGAAGCUACUGAGAAGGACAGUCACUGGCCCCUGGGUAGGCAGGUGUCAGACUUGUCACAUGGAGGUGGUAAGGCUGGACUGGACUGAUGGUAAGCAGCAGGUCUGCUUGGAGGAGGAAUCCCUGCCUGCCCCGCCCCCCUCUUGAAACUGGGAGGGAGGGCUGUUUGCUGAGCCCAGACCCACCAGCACAAGUCAUAUGGGAAUAGAUCUCCUUCACGUCACGUCGCAUGUUGAGCUCGAGGAACUGCACCUUGAUGUAGUUGCCCGCGUCCUCGUACGUGUUGGGCCCUGGCGGGGAAAGAGGGGUGCUCCCAUUCGGGGGUCCCAGGUCCUUCCCAUGGCGAGAGAAGCGCAGGCCCAGAUAACGGGUGUGGGGCGCCGCCUGGCGGCCAGGCCGCGGCGGGGGGGGGGGGCGGUUCUCACCGUCGUAAUCGGGGAAGCAGAUGCUGAGAUGCGCCUUUUUUAUCUUCUCGGAGAAAACGUCCUUCUUAUUGAGGAAGAGCACAAUGGACGUGGUGGCGAAGUAGCGGUGGUUGCAGAUGCUGUUGAACAGGACUGUCUCCGGCUUCCCCCUUAAGCACUCAGGCCCUCCUUGGCACCCACCACUUCGUCGUCCUCCACCAGCACCAUGUCGUAGGCGCUCAGCGCCGCGAUGAAGAUGAUGCAGGUCACACCCUCGAAGCAGUGGAUCCACUUCUUGCGCUCUGAGCGCUGCCCGCCCACAUCGAACAUCCUGGGGGGGGCAGUUGAGGCCUGAACCCGCGCAGGGAGCCCCCUGGACGCCCCACAAGCAUCCCCUUGCCUCCUAAUGCUGGCUGGGACGGGGGGGAACCCUCAGAGGGGCCUGCCCUGAGAAGGGCCCGGGCCUUUCUCCCGGCGGGUAUCAGAGAAGGGGCAGGGGCCCCUAGGGAGGGGCCUCCGGGUCUGCUGGGGCCUCGGGGCGCCGCCCCAGCAGCCAGGCCGCGGAGGAAGGGCGAGGGCGAGGGCGGGCGCGGGUCGUACCGGAAGUUGAGGUCCUUGAAGGAAAACUGGGUCUCAAUGAUGCCCGUGGUCUUGACACGCGAGCGCAGCACGUCCUGCUCAGUGGGCACGUAGCCCGGGAUGACCAGGCGCUCCAGGUCCGAGAGGUAGCUGCGGGGGACCGCGGGGUGUGGGUGGGUGGGGUGGAGCGGCGCCUGGGACCCCGCCUGGGACCCCCGCACCCGCGCGCCCCCCGCGCUCUCACUAGCCCGCGGAGUCGUUGAGCUGGUACUCAGAGGCGCGUUCGAAACAGGCCUGGAUACCCGAGUCCUUCCACAGCCGCUGGAUGAUGUCCGACAUCUCCUUGGGCAUCGUGCCCUCUUCGAUGGUGUCUGCCAUGUGCAUCAGCUUCCGGGCAUCAUCCUGAGGGCAGGGUGGGAAUUGGUGGCGACCGUGGCCCUGAGCCGGGUCUCGCGCCUCGAGUCCCCAGAGGCCCUGCUCAGUCGGCCUCCCUGCACACCUGGCGGGCAGAGUCUCCGUACUGGAUGUUGAGCGUGGUCAUGGCGCGCACGAUGGCGAGGAUGGACUGCAGCGUGUUGCCGUAGAUGAUGGCAAUGAACUCGAGGCACUCUUCCAGCGAGUACCCAUCCUGGUGGAUAAUCCUGCGGCCAGGGUGAGCCGGUCAGGGCCAGGGGACUGGUGGGGAAGGACAGGCCCGGAGCGCGUCCGUCCCCACCCUCAGGGACCUCAGAAAGGGCAAAGGCACUCACUUCAUCUGCUUGACGAUGGUGC